UUCUCUGUCCUCUCUUUCCUCCUAAAACCAGAGCUCCCAGGGAGCCCGUGCUUAUCCCAUUCCAACGCAUGGCGGCCUGGUCGCAGCUUCCUCGGCGCCUGCUUCUGUGUCCAUGAUAGCAGCGUGGACCUUGUGAAAAUGGAUGGCCGUGGAUGGCUGUGCAGGCGAGCACCCCAGAUCCAGCAGGCCCUUGAGGUUGGGCACUACGAUGGCUCCUGGGAAGAGGCUCGGAAGACGGCACAUGGCCAAGCUCCUAGGUCUGAUGGAUCUGGAGGGCAGAACCGAAGCAUCCCUUCUAGAAAAAAAAUCAUUUUUCCGAUCCCAUGGUUACUGGCUUUGUUUUCUCCUCGCGACCAUGGGAUUCAUAUUGAAUGGUAGCAAGCGGUGGGGUAAUCCACACGAUUUUUGUCCUCACUCCACAAAAAAGUGGGAAUUUGAUGUGUUAGUGCGUUCAGCUUCAGAUUGUACAUCACUUAAUCUUUGUUGAAUCAAAUUUUGCGUGAUCAGCUAA
Panicum virgatum (switchgrass) is the source of this 511-nucleotide long non-coding RNA. RefSeq lists it as uncharacterized. The record is from RefSeq and is a predicted model, not a curated record. NCBI's taxonomy places the organism in Eukaryota, Viridiplantae, Streptophyta, Magnoliopsida, Poales, Poaceae. The transcript has 2 exons.